Molecule: long non-coding RNA, 1101 nt
Filed under: Homo sapiens (human)
Lineage: Eukaryota; Metazoa; Chordata; Mammalia; Primates; Hominidae
Description: HSALNT0243973
Source: RNAcentral
CCGGGACCCCGCCGAGCGGCAGCACUUGGCUCCAUACCUAGGAUACAGCAGUUCCUCCAUCAAUAUACAAAAGAAUAAGAUUCAGAGAGAAAUGCAGAGGCCAGAGAUGGGGAACCACACAGCCCCAGGAGCCUCCGUUUCUGCCUGCUGGGUUCCAGCCCUGAAGAAGCUCAGCUGUCCACUGUCCAUGGAGGCACAGACACGUCAUUUAAAUUCCUUUACUUAAGGUGGCAUGAGGUCCUUUUUCUUUCUGGAGAGCUGGAAAUUUGCUUUUUCCCUCUUCAAAAGAAAGGCUGCAGCGAGCCUCAUGGGCUGGGUGUGGUGGCUUAUGCCUGUAAUCCCAGCACUUUGUGGGGCUAAAGCAGGAGGAUCACUUGAGCCCAGGAGUUCGAGACCAGCCUGGGCAACAUAGUGAGACACCCCCAUCUCUACAAAAAAUAAAUAAACACAAUUAGCCAGUUGUGGUGGUACACACCUGUGGUCCCUGCUUUUUGGGAGGCUGAGGUGGGAGGAUCACUUGAGCUCAGGAAGUCAAGGCUGCAGUGAGUCAAGAUCACGCCACUACAUUCCAGCCUGAGCAACAGAGUGAGACCCUAUCUCAAAAAACAAAAAGCAAAACAAAGGAACAAAAAAGCCCUCAAGGCCUUUCAUUUAAUAGCAAGGGUAAUAACAAACACUCAUAGAGUCUAUCUGUAAAACAUUCAUUUAAAGACCACUCAUUUAAUCUUCAUGACCAGCCCCUGAGGGGGAUAUGGUGAUAGCCUCCUCAUUGUUCAGGUGAGAAUCUGGAGGUAGGUGUGGACUUGGCACAGAACUGGGAAGUAGCGAAGGUCAGAUUCAAAACCUGGGUAGUCCAGCUCCAAAGUCCAUUGCCGAACCAUUAUACUGGUUGCAACGCCCUGCCCCAAGUGUAGCAUAAAAGUGUUUGUAGAAUAGACAUAAGAGACAUGGAGUAGCUGAGUGUUAGGAGAAGGCUUGCUCCCCAUUCCCUUUUUCUUCUUUGAGUCUGCCCUCCCCGCAACAACUGCUGAGGCUUUGCCCCUUUGCUGGCUGGGCCCUAGAAGAGAUGGAAUGACUCACUGGAUUAAUACAUUUGGGAAG